This 173-nucleotide non-coding RNA is filed under the name Evansella alkalicola. RNAcentral's name for it is "6S RNA". It matches the Rfam family "6S / SsrS RNA". Rfam says of the family: E. coli 6S RNA was the first non coding RNA to be sequenced, but its function was unknown until recently. It consists of 184 nucleotides that fold into an extended hairpin structure with a large single-stranded internal bulge. Lineage: Bacteria; Bacillati; Bacillota; Bacilli; Caryophanales; Bacillaceae. The record is from RNAcentral.
CACAUCCUACGAUGCUCGUGAGCUCUAAAUGUCUUAAACCGAUACUGAUUUUAUGGGAAUUUUAUAUUCUGACUUGGACAACAUGCCCUCUGGGACGUUGGAAGAAUCAGUGCAAAUACCCACCUGCGAGAGUGCGGGAUUUAAGACAAUGGGCAACGACAAAGUGGGAGUAU